RNAcentral lists this ribosomal RNA (499 nucleotides) under uncultured bacterium. RNAcentral's name for it is "partial 16S ribosomal RNA". It matches the Rfam family "Bacterial small subunit ribosomal RNA", at positions 899 to 1397 of the family's 1533-position model. The record is from RNAcentral.
ACUCAAAUGAAUUGACGGGGGCCCGCACAAGCGGUGGAGCAUGUGGUUUAAUUCGACGCAACGCGAAGAACCUUACCUAUCCUUGACAUCCUCGGAAUCUGCUAGAGAUAGUGGAGUGCCUUCGGGAGCCGGGAGACAGGUGCUGCAUGGCUGUCGUCAGCUCGUGUCGUGAGAUGUUGGGUUAAGUCCCUUAACGAGCGCAACCCUUGUCCUUAGUUGCCAACAGGUAAAGCUGGGAACUCUAAGGAGACUGCCGGUGAUAAACCGGAGGAAGGUGGGGAUGACGUCAAGUCCUCAUGGCCCUUACGGAUAGGGCUACACACGUGCUACAAUGGACGGUACAGAGGGAAGCGAAGCCGCAAGGUGUAGCGAAUCUCACAAAACCGUUCGUAGUCCGGAUUGGAGUCUGCAACUCGACUCCAUGAAGUUGGAAUCGCUAGUAAUCGCGGAUCAGAACGCCGCGGUGAAUACGUUCCCGGGCCUUGCACACACCGCCCGU